This 253-nucleotide ribosomal RNA is filed under the name uncultured bacterium. RNAcentral describes it as "partial 16S ribosomal RNA". It matches the Rfam family "Bacterial small subunit ribosomal RNA", at positions 524 to 776 of the family's 1533-position model. The record is from RNAcentral.
UACGUAGGGUGCAAGCGUUGUCCGGAAUUAUUGGGCGUAAAGGAUGCGUAGAUGGUGUAGUAAGUUAUCGGUGGUAAAUCGAGGCUCAACCUCGUGGAAGUCGGUAAUACUGCUAUACUUGAGGAUAGGAGAGGUUAACGGAACUCCCUGUGGAGCGGUGAAAUGCGUAGAUAUAGGGAGGAACACCAGUGGCGAAGGCGACUACCUGGCCUGUUCUUGACGCUGAGGCGCGAAAGCUAGGGGAGCAAACGGG